GAUGAAGAACGUAGCGAAAUGCGAUACGUAAUGUGAAUUGCAGAAUUCAGUGAAUCAUCGAAUCUUUGAACGCACAUUGCGCCUGCCAGCACUCUGGCAGGCAUGGCUGUUCGAGCGUCAUUUCAACCAUCAAGCCCUAGGCUUGCGUUGGAGCCCUGCGGCUGCCGCAGGCCCCUAAAAGCAGUGGCGGGCUCGCUAUCACACCGAGUGCAGUAGAUUACUCUUCGCUCAGGGCGUGUGGCGGGUUCCAGCCGUGAAACCCCCUACUUCUCAAGGUUGACCUCGGAUCAGGUAGGAAUACCCGCUGAACUUAAGCAUAUCAAUAAGCGGAGGA
This 334-nucleotide unclassified non-coding RNA is filed under the name soil metagenome. Its description in RNAcentral is "partial contains 5.8S ribosomal RNA, internal transcribed spacer 2, and large subunit ribosomal RNA". The stretch from base 1 to 120 matches the Rfam family "5.8S ribosomal RNA", at positions 35 to 154 of the family's 154-position model. The record is from RNAcentral.